This 481-nucleotide ribosomal RNA is filed under the name uncultured bacterium. RNAcentral's name for it is "partial 16S ribosomal RNA". It matches the Rfam family "Bacterial small subunit ribosomal RNA", at positions 28 to 507 of the family's 1533-position model. The record is from RNAcentral.
GACGAACGUUGGCGGCGUGCUUAAUACAUGCAAGUCCACUGAAGCAGUGGUAGCAAUAUCGCUGUGGAGGUGGCGCACGGGUGAGUAACACGUAGGUAAUCUGCCUUCAGGUCUGGCAUAACUCCGGGAAACCGGGGCUAAUAGCAGAUGAUGCAGCGGCUCGACAUCGAGACAGUUGUUAAAGCUAUGGCGCCUGAAGAUGAGCCUGCGCCUGAUUAGCUAGUUGGCGGGGUAACGGCCCACCAAGGCAACGAUCAGUAGCUGGUCUGAGAGGAUGAUCAGCCACAAUGGAACUGAGACACGGUCAAGACUACGACGGGAGGCAGAAGUAAGGAAUAUUGCUCAAUGGGAGAAAUCCUGAAGCAGCAACGCCGCGUGAGGGACGAAGGGCUUUUGCUUGUAAACCUCUGUAGUGAGAGAAAAAAAUCCCAAUCUUUGGGACAUGAUGGUAUCUCAAAAGUAAGCCCCGGCUAACUACGUG